Molecule: ribosomal RNA, 253 nt
Filed under: uncultured bacterium
Lineage: Bacteria
Description: partial 16S ribosomal RNA
Rfam family: Bacterial small subunit ribosomal RNA
Source: RNAcentral
UACAGAGGCCUCGAGCGUUAGGCGGAAUCACUGGGCUUAAAGCGUGUGUAGGUGGAUGCCUAAGUACCUUGUGAAAUCCCAUGGCUUAACCAUGGAAUUGCUCGGUAUACUGGGUGUCUUGAGCCACUCAGGGGCUACCGGAACAAGCGGUGGAGCGGUGAAAUGCGUAGAUAUCGCUUGGAACGCCAAAGGUGAAAACAGGUAGCUGGGGGUGUGCUGACACUGAGACGCGAAAGCCAGGGGAGCGAACGGG